This 2014-nucleotide long non-coding RNA is filed under the name Citrus maxima (pomelo). Its description in RNAcentral is "long non-coding RNA (CMAX_LNC001542)". The record is from RNAcentral. Lineage: Eukaryota; Viridiplantae; Streptophyta; Magnoliopsida; Sapindales; Rutaceae.
AUUAACUCAACUUGGGAAACUCAAUCUAAAAUCAAGUGUUGUCUUAAUUCGAUCCACUAAGUCAUACUUUUUUUAAGCUCUUUCUUAGUUAAUAUCCUUAAAUGAGUGGUCAGCCGAAAUAGAUCAUUAAAAUAAAUAUAAUUAAGACAAAAUGUUAUAACAAACACAGAGAAACACAUGUAUGACAGUCAAACAUCCAUUAAGAUCGUUUAUCACUCAACUACAAUCAAAUUCAGUUCAUGAUUUACGAUAGAAAAAUAAAUAAAAGAGUUUCAGUCAUCAAAUACAUCCCAAUGAAUAAAUAGAAAACAAAAAAAAGAAUAAGAAGAACUUAUUUCGGAUUAAUCUCUGCGAUUUCUCCUCUAGUACAGUCUUCAAUCUAUCUCUUAAUUUUUGUUUUUCUUAUUGUUUAUUUGCAGUAUAUCCUUUGGGUGACGGCUCUCCCUUUUCUUUUGCAAGCAUGCUCCUUUUAUAACUAAAAAUUAGGGCAACCGAGAGUAUGUGGUGCAUAUCCUUCAUUUUUGAAAACUUUAUAUCACAAUUUUUUAAUUAUCUCGUGCGAAAUAUUCUCUGUCAUUACUCCAGGAUUGCUACAAUAAUGGCUUCAGUAUCUUCACUGUUUUUUACUUAUUUCAAUUCUUAUGUAGUCAAGUUUUUUCAUUAUCUUUGCAGGUCUAUUGCAACAACAUUCAUUCCUUAAAUUUUGAGCUUUCGGUCACCUACAAUUAAACAUAUAAUCUAAAUACAAAUUAUUCUAAAAAAACAACUCAAUUUAUUAGAAUUAGACUAAAAUGGACGUUCAUGCAAAAUAUAAAUAAAAUGCAAUAAAAAUUACAUCAUUUACUCUCUAAGUAUUACCGAUUCAAGUUUAAAAGUGUCAUGAUAACUCUAUGAAGUUUAAAUUAAGCAUAUAAUCUAAGUACAAAUUAUUCUAAAAAACAACUCAAUUUAUUAGAAUUAGACUAAAAUAGACGUUCAUGCAAAAUAUAAAUAAAAUGCAAUAAAAAGCACAUCAUUUACGCUCUAAGUAUUACCGAUUCAAGUUCCCAUCUCAUCCAUAUAAUCAUCAUCAUCAUUAUCAUCAUAAUAUUCAUGCGGGCUGGAUUUUUCCAGUGACAUCAAUAGUAGUGCUAAUUCAUUUUUUAAGAUUUUUUUAAUUUUUAUUUUAACAUUGAUACUUUAAAUGAGACAGAGAUGGAUUUGUGAGAAUUAAAAAUGAGAGGUAGAAGAGAUUGAGAAUUAUUGAAUUAGAUUUAGAAAUUCAAUCCAAAUGGAUUCUAGGGUCAACCCAAACCGAACCGAAAACUGAAAUAAAUUUUUGGUUCGGUUCGGGUUGACUAAAAAAGGACACCCACCCCUACUUGUGGCUUAAUUCAUUUGCUUUUUUUUUUUUUUUUAUAUAUUAGAAGGCAUUUUAAUUGUUCUCUUAAAGAAAUUAAAAGAAAGAGACUGAGUAAAGAAAGACCAAAAUUUUCUUCCAAAAAGAAAAUAAGAAAAGAGCCAAAAAAAGAGAGAAAAAACUUACUUACCUAAUUGUGAGACUUUUAUAGGCAGCCAAGAUCACUGCCUCAAUAUUGAUGCCUGGACGCACUACAAGAUCGUUGAUGAACUGGCUUCGUGCCCAGAUAUCUUGAAAAAAAUCACGGGUUGGCCUUAACCUAACCCCAUAGUUGACUUAGUGCAGAUUCCCUUUUCACAUCAACCAACCGACCACGCAUGCUCAAUUCCCACGAGCUGAUCUCCCACACCUUAACUAAUGAGAGCAGGAUUCGCACUAGGCAACCUUUGGUUGUGCUCACAUUUCACACCUCAAACAUAUAUUACUUCAGUUUUUUUUUUUAAUAAACCUUAGAACCUGACCUUUUUUCUCUCUCUCUCUCAAGCCACAUUCUAGAGUAUUCUCCAAAUAUCUUUGUUUUCUUCGCCGAUUUGGCAAUCUUUCUCUUUUUCUUUUUUCUUUCAUUUUGCUUUGCUUGUUUCUUUAGCCUUAAUGGCGUUUUGUCCUUUCAUUUUU